UGGCAGCUUCAGGACUGGGGCCAACUUGGUCCCAGGAAUAGCCAGCGUUUGCAGGAUCAAGUCCUGGUGGGACAGCAGCUGGGAGUCCUGAGGGAAAGUUUACUUAAGGAAUGGUUUCCCUCCCAGAAACUGCUUCAGCAACAUACUGUAGGUCUUCACUUACGGAACUAUGUGAAUAAAAAAAAGUGAUGAUAGUUUCUGAUGGCUAUAAUUUCCGGACCUGAAGCACAACCCAAGUAGAGAGGUUAAAAGAACAAGGCUUCUUCACAACACUUCUGCACUUUUAAGAGUUGUGUACAAGAGAGAACUUCAGCAUUCAUCCUAAGAACUCACCAAACCUCCUGCCGGAAGAAACGGAGUCUGCUGUCAGGCAGCACGUGACUGAUGACAACAUAUCAUUGAUAGUCUGCCUUUGGUGGCGUGACACAAAAUGUUGAAGUACAUUGACUGUGCAGAACUAUUCACUCUUUAAUUGUACCCAUAUAUUAACAUAAUAUACUUCCUCUUGCUUAAUGCACUUGGCAUAACAAGACAUCAUGUGGUGAAGUCAUUCAAAUAAUUUCAGAACAGCUUGCAUUUCUUUAUCUUUCUCUCAAGUGCAUGCUACAGUGGGAGUUAGAGGGUUGAUAGCAUUGUUGCUGAUUUAUGGAAAAGCUGGUGACUAUUUCAGUGAACUAGCUAAAGCCCCUUGGCUUACAUUUCCUCACCUUCCAUUCAAAGCUAGGGAACUGUAAAUCUAAAAUGCCCACAUCCACAGAUAUCUUCUCUAUCCCAUCUCCACAUCCACUCCAUGUGCCUCAAUUUUCCUUGAUACAGAAUAUGGAGUUUUAAUCUUUGGCCUUGUGCAUGGUGCUAGAUAUAGGGAAUUUCUUCCAUCUGUCAUGCUGCAAGCAUUUGGUUAAGACUGAGAAGGUGAAAUAUUCUUGUUUUUGUUCAAAUGUAGGGAAAGAAAUCAUCCCGGACACUAUACUCCAUGUGCUUUGUAGAUGGCAUGGAAGCACGGCUCCUGGUCAUGAAAUAAAAUGUAAGAGAAGGAAAAUUGCCCAGAUCAGAGCUGAACUAUACUGAAAAUAAGUCCUGAGAUAAUUAGUACUGUUUAUGUGGCCAACUACGAUUUCAUGAAAAUCGCCUUCUACAACUCUUCUCUGGAUUUACAGGCAUAGAAACUGUGGAACAAUUUCACUGAAUAGUCUCUGAGGAAAAGAGGUUGUAUUCUCUAAUUGUUUGAGAGGAGAAGUCAAUUUAUCUGAACAUGUUCAAAGAAAUAAUGAUUCUGCUAACAUUAAAUGAAACAAUUGUACUAAAUUAUACUGGUGAAUAAAGGUAGUAAUAGAGUGAGAGGAAAGGACUGG
RNAcentral lists this long non-coding RNA (1352 nucleotides) under Pogona vitticeps (central bearded dragon). Its description in RNAcentral is "lncRNA (ENSPVIG00000002079.1)". The record is from RNAcentral. Lineage: Eukaryota; Metazoa; Chordata; Lepidosauria; Squamata; Agamidae.